UACGGAGGGGGCUAGCGUUGUUCGGAAUUACUGGGCGUAAAGGGCUCGUAGGUGGCCAACUAAGUCAGACGUGAAAUCCCUCGGCUUAACCGGGGAACUGCGUCUGAUACUGGAUGGCUUGAGUUUGGGAGAGGGACGCGGAAUUCCAGGUGUAGCGGUGAAAUGCGUAGAUAUCUGGAGGAACACCGGUGGCGAAGGCGGCGUCCUGGACCAACACUGACACUGAUGAGCGAAAGCCAGGGGAGCAAACGGG
Molecule: ribosomal RNA, 253 nt
Filed under: uncultured bacterium
Lineage: Bacteria
Description: partial 16S ribosomal RNA
Rfam family: Bacterial small subunit ribosomal RNA
Source: RNAcentral